Molecule: ribosomal RNA, 742 nt
Filed under: uncultured bacterium
Lineage: Bacteria
Description: bacterial SSU rRNA
Rfam family: Bacterial small subunit ribosomal RNA
Source: RNAcentral
AGAGUUUGAUCCUGGCUCAGAGCGAACGCUGGCGGCAGGCCUAAUACAUGCAAGUCGAGCGCCGUAGCAAUACGGAGCGGCAGACGGGAGAGUAACACGUGGGAACGUACCCUUCAGUUCGGAACAACCCAGGGAAACUUGGGCUAAUACCGGAUACGUCCGUAAGGAGAAAGAUUUAUCGCUGAAGGAUCGGCCCGCGUCUGAUUAGCUUGUUGGUGAGGUAACGGCUCACCAAGGCGACGAUCAGUAGCUGGUCUGAGAGGAUGAUCAGCCUCACUGGGACUGAGACACGGCCCAGACUCCUACGGGAGGCAGCAGUAGGGAAUAUUGGACAAUGGGCGCAAGCCUGAUCCAGCCAUGCCGCGUGGGUGAUGAAGGCCCUAGGGUUGUAAAGCCCUUUCGGCGGGGAAGAUAAUGACGGUACCCGCAGAAGAAGCCCCGGCUAACUUCGUGCCAGCAGCCGCGGUAAUACGAAGGGGGCUAGCGUUGCUCGGAAUCACUGGGCGUAAAGCGCACGUAGGCGGCUUUUUAAGUCAGAGGUGAAAUCCUGGAGCUCAACUCCAGAACUGCCUUUGAUACUGGAGAGCUUGAGUCCGGGAGAGGUGAGUGGAACUGCGAGUGUAGAGGUGAAAUUCGUAGAUAUUCGCAAGAACACCAGUGGCGAAGGCGGCUCACUGGCCCGGUACUGACGCUGAGGUGCGAAAGCGUGGGGAGCAAACAGGAUUAGAUACCCUCGUAGUCC